UGUGAGUAGCACAUGGAAACCUAGUGGGUUUUUUUUUUAUGUAUUAAAGCUAUAUAUUUAUUACUUAAACAGAAUUCCUGUUCCUCUCACUGUCUUUGCAGAUGCUCUACCUUUGCGUCAUUUGAUCUAUUGAUUCCAAUACAUAGCUUCAAUGAGUUAUUUCCAAAUCUUUUUAAGUGGUCCUGAUUUGUCUUCUGCCCAUAAACUUGAAGAAGCUAUCACUAAACGGCAGUGGUGGUUUAGCGGAGGCGUCAUCACCUACGCAUGCCUGGAGCUGGCCAUAAAGACAUUCUCUGACCUACUCUGUUUGAUAGUGGGUCCUCAGAUCCGCAUUCCAAAGGGAUCCUGUCCCAUACUUGGGAGCAAGAAAUGCCACACAGAGAGGCCAUGAAGAACUCAAACAGAGAGGCCUUGCUGGGUCCUUCUUUCAGUCUAUGACUCUUAGAUUACAGCCUUUUGUCCCAUCACACUUCUGCAUUCUGCACAGCCUUUGUGAAUUCUAAGUAUGCAAGUGGCCAGUUUCUUUGGAUAUCUGAGUCUUCAUUUAUGAAGACUCCAGUGUCAGGACCAUAUUGCGACUGAAACAAGGCAUAACAGGUCUUUGACUGGCUAUCCUGUGGGUGUGGACUCAGGCUAGCCUGCGCAAAGUGGUGAGCAAGGUGGUUGGGAAAAUCAAAGGAGGGGGUAAGGUAGUGGCAGGUAACUAUCGAUAAUCUGCUCUUCUUCACAGAAAGACAGGCAAUUAGAUU
RNAcentral lists this non-coding RNA (749 nucleotides) under Pan troglodytes (chimpanzee). Lineage: Eukaryota; Metazoa; Chordata; Mammalia; Primates; Hominidae. The record is from RNAcentral.